AAACUUCUGGGGUGUACGAGGACUUAAUUAAUGUCUAACCUACAUUAAUUUUAGGGAACCUGAAUUGAUUUCGGAAGAUGGAUAAUUGCCCGCGUGACAAGUAACAGACACCGAGCUUAGGGAACCCACCUGCGAGUAAGCAGGUCUAGACAUUUGGAGGAACCGGCAUUUUGGAAACCUU
This 181-nucleotide non-coding RNA is filed under the name Quinella sp. 1Q7. RNAcentral describes it as "6S RNA". It matches the Rfam family "6S / SsrS RNA". From Rfam's summary of the family: E. coli 6S RNA was the first non coding RNA to be sequenced, but its function was unknown until recently. The record is from RNAcentral. Lineage: Bacteria; Bacillati; Bacillota; Negativicutes; Veillonellales; Veillonellaceae.